This is a long non-coding RNA of Tachysurus vachellii, 181 nucleotides long. RefSeq lists it as uncharacterized. The transcript has 2 exons. The record is from RefSeq and is a predicted model, not a curated record. Lineage: Eukaryota; Metazoa; Chordata; Actinopteri; Siluriformes; Bagridae.
UGGUUCAGGUGUUUGGUGUGGACCUGAGUACAGAGUAAAUGGGAUCAUGUCUUUCAUGCCUCCACAACUGAGAAGUGAACGUGGGGUUUUCUUCUCAAAUCUGAGCUCCUUCCCUGUUUACAGAGUGACGUCACAUCAGCACGACUGCACACAGCAUCAGAAAUAAACAAAGUCAAACUUC